RNAcentral lists this ribosomal RNA (275 nucleotides) under uncultured Synergistaceae bacterium. RNAcentral describes it as "partial 16S ribosomal RNA". It matches the Rfam family "Bacterial small subunit ribosomal RNA", at positions 1109 to 1382 of the family's 1533-position model. The record is from RNAcentral. Lineage: Bacteria; Thermotogati; Synergistota; Synergistia; Synergistales; Synergistaceae.
UCCUAGUUGCCAUCGGGUAAUGCCGGGCACUCUGGAAGGACUGCCAUCGACAAGAUGGAGGAAGGUGGGGAUGACGUCAAGUCAUCAUGGCCCUUAUGUCCAGGGCGACACACGUGCUACAAUGGCCGGCACAACGGGAAGCGAGUUCGCGAGGACAAGCGGAUCCCUUAAAGCCGGUCGCAGUUCGGAUUGAAGUCUGCAACUCGACUUCAUGAAGCUGGAAUCGCUAGUAAUCGUGGAUCAGCCAAGCCGCGGUGAAUACGUUCCCGGGCCUU